RNAcentral lists this long non-coding RNA (320 nucleotides) under Elaeis guineensis (African oil palm). RNAcentral describes it as "long non-coding RNA (EGUI_LNC078465)". The record is from RNAcentral. Lineage: Eukaryota; Viridiplantae; Streptophyta; Magnoliopsida; Arecales; Arecaceae.
GCUGUCCAUCUUCUAAAGGAAGCUCUUUUGGCCAAACCGGUAUAUUAUCGAUCGAUGUAUCCUAUUGAAAGGUAAAGAAGUUAUACAUAUUUUGUCAUAUCAAUUAUAAGAUGUAAAUAUAUUUUUAAAAUUUAAAUUUAUUUUUAUUUAUAGAUUCUUGUGCACCUUAAAAAAGUAUGUGCGCAAUAAAGCAAGACCUGAAGAGUCUAUAAUAGCUACCGAGUAUCUCAUAUUCUGCUUGAUGUAUCUUGAUGAUAUUGAAAUAAGAUUCAAUCGUGUAGAUUGUAAUACAGACCAUGAAUGAAGUGACAAUGAACCGA